GCGGGAGUAACUCAGUGGUAGAGUGCCACCUUGCCAAGGUGGACGUCGCGGGUUCAAGUCCCGUCUCCCGCU
RNAcentral lists this transfer RNA (72 nucleotides) under Pseudomonadota bacterium. RNAcentral's name for it is "tRNA-Gly". It matches the Rfam family "tRNA". From Rfam's summary of the family: Transfer RNA (tRNA) molecules are approximately 80 nucleotides in length. Their secondary structure includes four short double-helical elements and three loops (D, anti-codon, and T loops). RNAcentral also lists the same sequence under 6 other names. The record is from RNAcentral. Lineage: Bacteria; Pseudomonadati; Pseudomonadota.